Molecule: long non-coding RNA, 213 nt
Organism: Chiroxiphia lanceolata (lance-tailed manakin)
Lineage: Eukaryota; Metazoa; Chordata; Aves; Passeriformes; Pipridae
Exons: 3
Source: RefSeq, a predicted model, not a curated record
UUGCCCUCCUUUGGACACUCUCUAACAGCUUAAUAUCUUUUUUAUAUUGUGGUGCCCAAAACUGCCAGAAUAUUCAAGGUGAGGCUGCCCCAGUGCAAAGCGGAGUGGGACAAUCCCCCCCACCAUUGACCAGCUGGUGAUGCUUUGCCUGACGCCCCCCAGGACACGGUUGGCCCUCCUGGCUGCCAGGGCACUGCUGCCUCAUUCCAAGUU